AGAGUUUGAUCCUGGCUUAGAACGAACGCUGGCGGCGUGCCUCAUACAUGCAAGUCGUACGAGAAAGUCCUGGGCAACCGGGAUGAGUAAAGUGGCGAACUGGUGCGUAACACGUGGGUAACCUGCCUCAAAGCUGGGGAUAAGCCCUCGAAAGGGGGUCUAAUACCGGGUAAAAUCUUCUCCCGGCAUCGGGAGGGGAUCAAAGGUAGCCUAUAUUUAUAAGCUAUUGCUUUGAGAUGGGCCCGCGGUCCAUUAGCUUGUUGGUGAGAUAAAAGCCCACCAAGGCUGCGAUGGAUAGCCGACCUGAGAGGGUGUACGGCCACACUGGGACUGAGAUACGGCCCAGACUCCUACGGGAGGCAGCAGUAGGGAAUAUUGCGCAAUGGGCAAAUGCCUGACGCAGCAACGCCGCGUGGGUGAUGAAGUUCUUCGGAAUGUAAAACCCUGUCAGAGGGGAAGAAACUCUCAAAGAUAAAUAAUCUUUGGGACUGACGCUACCCUCAGAGGAAGCUCCGGCUAACUCCGUGCCAGCAGCCGCGGUAAUACGGGGGGAGCAAGCGUUGUUCGGAAUCACUGGGCGUAAAGGGUGUGUAGGCGGGCGGGUAAGUCGGACGUGAAAAUCUAAAGCUUAACUUUGGACCUGCGUUUGAAACUGCCUGUCUUGAGUACGGGAGAGGAAAGUGGAAUUCCUGGUGUAGCGGUGAAAUGCGUAGAUAUCAGGAGGAACACCGGUGGCGAAGGCGGCUUUCUAGCCCGAUACUGACGCUGAGACACGAAGGCUAGGGGAGCAAACAGGAUUAGAUACCCUGGUAGUCCUAGCGGUAAACGUUGGGCACUAGGUGUUGUCCCUUAACUGGGGCAGUGCCGCAGCUAACGCAUUAAGUGCCCCGCCUGGGGAGUACGACCGCAAGGUUGAAACUCAAAGGAAUUGACGGGGGCCCGCACAAGCGGUGGAGUAUGUGGUUUAAUUCGACGCAACGCGAAGAACCUUACCUGGGUUUGAAAUGCACUGGAAAACUCAAGAGAUUGAGUCCCCCAGCGAUGGGUCAGUGCACAGGUGCUGCAUGGCUGUCGUCAGCUCGUGCCGUGAGGUGUUGGGUUAAGUCCCGCAACGAGCGCAACCCCUGUCCUUAGUUGCCAUCUUUCCGUAAGGGAGGAGCACUCUAAGGAGACUGCCAGUUAUAAACUGGAGGAAGGUGGGGAUGACGUCAAGUCCUCAUGGCCCUUAUGUCCAGGGCUACACACGUACUACAAUGGCCGGUAUAGCAGGUUGCUAUGCCGCGAGGUGGAGCUAAUCCCCAAAACCGGCCUCAGUUCAGAUUGAAGUCUGCAACUCGACUUCAUGAAGGCGGAAUCGCUAGUAAUCGCGGAUCAGCAGGUCGCGGUGAAUACGUUCCCGGGCCUUGUACACACCGCCCGUCAAGCCAUGGAAGCCGGGGGGACCCGAAGUCGUUUUUCUAACUCGCAAGAGAAGAAGACGCCUAAGGUAAAACCGGUGACUGGGGCUAAGUCGUAACAAGGUA
This 1523-nucleotide ribosomal RNA is filed under the name metagenome. RNAcentral describes it as "bacterial SSU rRNA". It matches the Rfam family "Bacterial small subunit ribosomal RNA". The record is from RNAcentral.